This 253-nucleotide ribosomal RNA is filed under the name uncultured bacterium. Its description in RNAcentral is "partial 16S ribosomal RNA". It matches the Rfam family "Bacterial small subunit ribosomal RNA", at positions 524 to 776 of the family's 1533-position model. The record is from RNAcentral.
UACGUAGGGGGCAAGCGUUGUCCGGAUUUAUUGGGCGUAAAGAGCGUGUAGGCGGCCAGGUAGGUCGGGUGUGAAAACUCUGGGCUCAACCCAGAGCCUGCAUUCGAAACUGACGAGCUAGAGUUCUGGAGGGGAAAGCGGAAUUCCUGGUGUAGCAGUGAAAUGCGUAGAUAUCAGGAGGAACACCGGUGGCGAAGGCGGCUUUCUGGACAGAAACUGACGCUGAUGCGCGAAAGCUAGGGGAGCAAACAGG